AGCGGCGAGUGAGCGGCAAAAGCUCAAAUUUGAAAUCUGGCGUCUUUGGCGUCCGAGUUGUAAUUUGAAGAAGGUAUCUUUGGGCCCGGCUCUUGUCUAUGUUCCUUGGAACAGGACGUCACAGAGGGUGAGAAUCCCGUGCGAUGAGAUGACCCGGGUCUGUGUAAAGUUCCUUCGACGAGUCGAGUUGUUUGGGAAUGCAGCUCUAAGUGGGUGGUAAAUUCCAUCUAAAGCUAAAUAUUGGCGAGAGACCGAUAGCGAACAAGUACAGUGAUGGAAAGAUGAAAAGAACUUUGAAAAGAGAGUGAAAAAGUACGUGAAAUUGUUGAAAGGGAAGGGCUUGAGAUCAGACUUGGUAUUUUGCAUGUUGCUCUCUCGGGGGCGGCCGCUGCGGUUUACCGGGCCAGCAUCGGUUUGGAGCGGCAGGAUAAUGGCGGAGGAAUGUGGCACGGCUUCUGCUGUGUGUUAUAGCCUCUGACGAUACUGCCAGCCUAGACCGAGGACUGCGGUUUUUACCUAGGAUGUUGGCAUAAUGAUCUUAAGUCGCCCGUCUU
Molecule: ribosomal RNA, 554 nt
Filed under: Candida albicans
Lineage: Eukaryota; Fungi; Ascomycota; Pichiomycetes; Serinales; Debaryomycetaceae
Description: partial large subunit ribosomal RNA
Rfam family: Eukaryotic large subunit ribosomal RNA
Source: RNAcentral